GACGAACGCUGGCGGCGUGCCUAAUACAUGCAAGUCGAGCGAAGUUUUUCUGGUGCUUGCACUAGAAAAACUUAGCGGCGCACGGGUGAGUAACACGUAAAGAACCUGCCUCAUAGACUGGGACAACUAUUGGAAACGAUAGCUAAUACCGGAUAACAGUAUUUCUCGCAUGAGAGGUAUUUAAAAGUUGGUUAUGCUAACACUAUGAGAUGGCUUUGCGGUGCAUUAGCUAGUUGGUGGGGUAAAGGCCCACCAAGGCGACGAUGCAUAGCCGACCUGAGAGGGUGAUCGGCCACACUGGGACUGAGACACGGCCCAGACUCCUACGGGAGGCAGCAGUAGGGAAUCUUCCGCAAUGGGCGAAAGCCUGACGGAGCAACGCCGCGUGAGUGAAGAAGGAUUUCGGUUCGUAAAGCUCUGUUGUUAGGGAAGAAUGGAUAUGUAGUAACUAUACAUGUAAGAGACGGUACCUAACCAGAAAGCCACGGCUAACUACGUG
Molecule: ribosomal RNA, 499 nt
Filed under: uncultured bacterium
Lineage: Bacteria
Description: partial 16S ribosomal RNA
Rfam family: Bacterial small subunit ribosomal RNA
Source: RNAcentral